UACGUAGGGACCAAGCGUUGUUCGGAAUUACUGGGCGUAAAGGGCGCGUAGGCGGCGGGGUCAGUCGGGUGUGAAAUCUUGGGGCUUAACCCCGAAACGGCACUCGAAACUGCCCGGCUGGAGGGCCGGAGAGGAGAUCGGAAUUCACGGUGUAGCAGUGAAAUGCGUAGAGAUCGUGAGGAAGACCCGGGGCGAAGGCGGAUCUCUGGACGGCUAACUGACGCUGAGGCGCGAAGGCCAGGGGAGCAAACGGG
This 254-nucleotide ribosomal RNA is filed under the name uncultured bacterium. RNAcentral describes it as "partial 16S ribosomal RNA". It matches the Rfam family "Bacterial small subunit ribosomal RNA", at positions 524 to 776 of the family's 1533-position model. The record is from RNAcentral.